This 517-nucleotide ribosomal RNA is filed under the name uncultured microorganism. RNAcentral describes it as "bacterial SSU rRNA". It matches the Rfam family "Bacterial small subunit ribosomal RNA", at positions 9 to 521 of the family's 1533-position model. The record is from RNAcentral.
GAGUUUGAUCGUGGCUCAGAUUGAACGCUGGCGGCAGGCCUAACACAUGCAAGUCGAGCGGAUGAAGGGAGCUUGCUCCUGGAUUCAGCGGCGGACGGGUGAGUAAUGCCUAGGAAUCUGCCUGGUAGUGGGGGAUAACGUCCGGAAACGGGCGCUAAUACCGCAUACGUCCUGAGGGAGAAAGUGGGGGAUCUUCGGACCUCACGCUAUCAGACGAGCCUAGGUCGGAUUAGCUAGUUGGUGGGGUAAAGGCCUACCAAGGCGACGAUCCGUAACUGGUCUGAGAGGAUGAUCAGUCACACUGGAACUGAGACACGGUCCAGACUCCUACGGGAGGCAGCAGUGGGGAAUAUUGGACAAUGGGCGAAAGCCUGAUCCAGCCAUGCCGCGUGUGUGAAGAAGGUCUUCGGAUUGUAAAGCACUUUAAGUUGGGAGGAAGGGCAGUAAGUUAAUACCUUGCUGUUUUGACGUUACCAACAGAAUAAGCACCGGCUAACUUCGUGCCAGCAGCCGCAGU